GAUGAACGCUGGCGGCGUGCCUAAUACAUGCCAGUCGAGCGAACAGAUGAGGAGCUUGCUCCUCUGACGUUAGCGGCGGACGGGUGAGUAACACGUGGAUAACCUACCUAUAAGACUGGGAUAACUUCGGGAAACCGGAGCUAAUACCGGAUAAUAUAUUGAACCGCAUGGUUCAAUAGUGAAAGACGGUUUUGCUGUCACUUAUAGAUGGAUCCGCGCCGCAUUAGCUAGUUGGUAAGGUAACGGCUUACCAAGGCAACGAUGCGUAGCCGACCUGAGAGGGUGGUCGGCCACACUGGAACUGAGACACGGUCCAGACUCCUAAGGGAGGCAGCAGUAGGGAAUCUUCCGCAAUGGGCGAAAGCCUGACGGAGCAACGCCGCGUGAGUGAUGAAGGUCUUCGGAUCGUAAAACUCUGUUAUUAGGGAAGAACAAAUGUGUAAGUAACUAUGCACGUCUUGACGGUACCUAAUCAGAAAGCAACGGCUAACUACGUG
This 497-nucleotide ribosomal RNA is filed under the name uncultured bacterium. RNAcentral's name for it is "partial 16S ribosomal RNA". It matches the Rfam family "Bacterial small subunit ribosomal RNA", at positions 28 to 507 of the family's 1533-position model. The record is from RNAcentral.